UACGUAGGGAGCAAGCGUUAUCCGGAUUUAUUGGGCGUAAAGGGUGCGUAGGCGGUUUGUUAAGUAUGAAAUUUAAGCCCGAGGCUCAACCUCGGUUCGUUUCAUAAACUGGCAGACUUGAGUAUGGCAGAGGUAAACGGAAUUUCUAGUGUAGCGGUUAAAUGCGUAGAUAUUAGAAGGAACACCGGUGGCGAAGGCGGUUUACUGGGCCAUAACUGACGCUGAGGCACGAAAGCGUGGGGAGC
This 245-nucleotide ribosomal RNA is filed under the name uncultured Eubacteriales bacterium. RNAcentral describes it as "uncultured Clostridiales bacterium partial 16S ribosomal RNA". It matches the Rfam family "Bacterial small subunit ribosomal RNA", at positions 524 to 769 of the family's 1533-position model. The record is from RNAcentral. Lineage: Bacteria; Bacillati; Bacillota; Clostridia; Eubacteriales.